RNAcentral lists this ribosomal RNA (484 nucleotides) under uncultured bacterium. Its description in RNAcentral is "partial 16S ribosomal RNA". It matches the Rfam family "Bacterial small subunit ribosomal RNA", at positions 29 to 523 of the family's 1533-position model. The record is from RNAcentral.
AGUGAACGCUGGCGGCGUGCUUAACACAUGCAAGUCGAACGAGAACGGGUUAUAGCUUGCUAUAAUUGUCAGUUAAGUGGCGCACGGGUGAGUAAUGUAUAGGUAAUAUGCCUCUUACUAAGGGAUAACAAAUGGAAUCGUUUGCUAAUACCUUAUACUCCUUAUUAACAGAAGUUAAUAAGGGAAAGAUUUAUUGGUAAGAGAUUAGCCUGUAUUGUAUCAGUUAGUUGGUGGGGUAAUGGCUUACCAAGACUAUGACACAUAACUGGUUUGAGAGGAUGAUCAGUCACACUGGAACUGAGACACGGUCCAGACUCCUACGGGGGGCAGCAGUGGGGAAUAUUGCACAAUGGACGAAAGUCUGAUGCAGCAACGCCGCGUGGAGGAUGACACAUUUCGGUGCGUAAACUCCUUUUAUAUGAGAAGAUAAUGACGGUAUUAUAUGAAUAAGCACCGGCUAACUCCGUGCCAGCCGCCGCGGUAA